UAUAUGGUCAAGUGAAGAAGCGCAUACGGUGGAUGCCUUGGCAGUCAGAGGCGAUGAAAGACGUGGUAGCCUGCGAAAAGCUUCGGGGAGUCGGCAAACAGACUGUGAUCCGGAGAUAUCUGAAUGGGGGAACCCAGCCAUCAUAAGAUGGUUAUCUUGUACUGAAUACAUAGGUGCAAGAGGCGAACCAGGGGAACUGAAACAUCUAAGUACCCUGAGGAAAAGAAAUCAACCGAGAUUCCCUUAGUAGUGGCGAGCGAACGGGGACCAGCCCUUAAGUUGUAUUGAGAUUAGCGGAACGUUGAGGAAAAGAAAUCAACCGAGAUUCCCUUAGUAGUGGCGAGCGAACGGGGACCAGCCCUUAAGUUGUAUUGAGAUUAGCGGAACGUUCUGGAAAGGACGGCCAUAGUGGGUGAUAGCCCUGUACGCGAAAAUCCCUUUGCAAUGAAAUCGAGUAGGACGGGGCACGAGAAACCUUGUCUGAAUAUGGGGGGUAAAGGACGGCCAUAGUGGGUGAUAGCCCUGUACGCGAAAAUCCCUUUGCAAUGAAAUCGAGUAGGACGGGGCACGAGAAACCUUGUCUGAAUAUGGGGGGACCAUCCUCCAAGGCUAAAUACUACUGACUGACCGAUAGUGAACCAGUACCGUGAGGGAAAGGCGAAAAGAACCGCGGAGAGCGGAGUGAAAUAGAUCCUGAAACCGUAUGCGUACAAGCAGUGGGAGCCCACUUUGUUGGGUGACUGCGUACCUUUUGUAUAAUGGGUCAGCGACUUAUUUUCAGUGGCGAGCUUAACCGAAUAGGGGAGGCGUAGCGAAAGCGAGUCUUAAUAGGGCGUCUAGUCGCUGGGAAUAGACCCGAAACCGGGCGAUCUAUCCAUGGGCAGGUUGAAGGUUGGGUAACACUAACUGGAGGACCGAACCGACUACCGUUGAAAAGUUAGCGGAUGACCUGUGGAUCGGAGUGAAAGGCUAAUCAAGCUCGGAGAUAGCUGGUUCUCCUCGAAAGCUAUUUAGGUAGCGCCUCAUGUAUCACUGUAGGGGGUAGAGCACUGUUUCGGCUAGGGGGUCAUCCCGACUUACCAAACCGAUGCAAACUCCGAAUACCUACAAGUGCCGAGCAUGGGAGACACACGGCGGGUGCUAACGUCCGUCGUGAAAAGGGAAACAACCCAGACCGUCAGCUAAGGUCCCAAAGUCAUGGUUAAGUGGGAAACGAUGUGGGAAGGCUUAGACAGCUAGGAGGUUGGCUUAGAAGCAGCCACCCUUUAAAGAAAGCGUAAUAGCUCACUAGUCGAGUCGGCCUGCGCGGAAGAUGUAACGGGGCUCAAACCAUGCACCGAAGCUACGGGUAUCAUCUUUUGAUGAUGCGGUAGAGGAGCGUUCUGUAAGCCUGUGAAGGUGAGUUGAGAAGCUUGCUGGAGGUAUCAGAAGUGCGAAUGCUGACAUGAGUAACGACAAUGGGUGUGAAAAACACCCACGCCGAAAGACCAAGGUUUCCUGCGCAACGUUAAUCGACGCAGGGUUAGUCGGUCCCUAAGGCGAGGCUGAAAAGCGUAGUCGAUGGAAAACAGGUUAAUAUUCCUGUACUUCUGGUUAUUGCGAUGGAGGGACGGAGAAGGCUAGGCCAGCCUGGCGUUGGUAGUCCAGGUUUAAGGUGGUAGGCUGAGAUCUUAGGUAAAUCCGGGAUCUUAAGGCCGAGAGCUGAUGACGAGUGUUCUUUUAGAACACGAAGUGGUUGAUGCCAUGCUUCCAAGAAAAGCUUCUAAGCUUCAGGUAACCAGGAACCGUACCCCAAACCGACACAGGUGGUUGGGUAGAGAAUACCAAGGCGCUUGAGAGAACUCGGGUGAAGGAACUAGGCAAAAUGGCACCGUAACUUCGGGAGAAGGUGCGCCGGUGGAGGUGAAGCAUUUACUGCGUAAGCCCCUGCCGGUCGAAGAUACCAGGCCGCUGCGACUGUUUAUUAAAAACACAGCACUCUGCAAACACGAAAGUGGACGUAUAGGGUGUGACGCCUGCCCGGUGCCGGAAGGUUAAUUGAUGGGGUUAGCGCAAGCGAAGCUCUUGAUCGAAGCCCCGGUAAACGGCGGCCGUAACUAUAACGGUCCUAAGGUAGCGAAAUUCCUUGUCGGGUAAGUUCCGACCUGCACGAAUGGCGUAACGAUGGCGGCGCUGUCUCCACCCGAGACUCAGUGAAAUUGAAAUCGCUGUGAAGAUGCAGUGUAUCCGCGGCUAGACGGAAAGACCCCGUGAACCUUUACUAUAGCUUUGCACUGGACUUUGAAUUUGCUUGUGUAGGAUAGGUGGGAGGCUUUGAAGCGUGGACGCCAGUCUGCGUGGAGCCAACCUUGAAAUACCACCCUGGCAACUUUGAGGUUCUAACUCAGGUCCGUUAUCCGGAUCGAGGACAGUGUAUGGUGGGUAGUUUGACUGGGGCGGUCUCCUCCUAAAGAGUAACGGAGGAGUACGAAGGUGCGCUCAGACCGGUCGGAAAUCGGUCGUAGAGUAUAAAGGCAAAAGCGCGCUUGACUGCGAGACAGACACGUCGAGCAGGUACGAAAGUAGGUCUUAGUGAUCCGGUGGUUCUGUAUGGAAGGGCCAUCGCUCAACGGAUAAAAGGUACUCCGGGGAUAACAGGCUGAUACCGCCCAAGAGUUCAUAUCGACGGCGGUGUUUGGCACCUCGAUGUCGGCUCAUCACAUCCUGGGGCUGAAGCCGGUCCCAAGGGUCUCCGGGGAUAACAGGCUGAUACCGCCCAAGAGUUCAUAUCGACGGCGGUGUUUGGCACCUCGAUGUCGGCUCAUCACAUCCUGGGGCUGAAGCCGGUCCCAAGGGUAUGGCUGUUCGCCAUUUAAAGUGGUACGCGAGCUGGGUUUAGAACGUCGUGAGACAGUUCGGUCCCUAUCUGCCGUGGACGUUUGAGAUUUGAGAGGGGCUGCUCCUAGUAUGGCUGUUCGCCAUUUAAAGUGGUACGCGAGCUGGGUUUAGAACGUCGUGAGACAGUUCGGUCCCUAUCUGCCGUGGACGUUUGAGAUUUGAGAGGGGCUGCUCCUAGUACGAGAGGACCGGAGUGGACGAACCUCUGGUGUUCCGGUUGUCACGCCAGUGGCAUUGCCGGGUAGCUAUGUUCGGAAAAGAUAACCGCUGAAAGCAUCUAAGCGGGAAACUUGCCUCAAGAUGAGAUCUCACUGGAACCUUGAGUUCCCUAAAGGGCCGUCGAAGACUACGACGUUGAUAGGUUGGGUGUGUAAGCGCUGUGAGGCGUUGAGCUAACCAAUACUAAUUGCCCGUGAGGCUUGACCAUAUAACACCCAAGCAAUU
This 3321-nucleotide ribosomal RNA is filed under the name Pseudomonas syringae. RNAcentral's name for it is "bacterial LSU rRNA". It matches the Rfam family "Bacterial large subunit ribosomal RNA". Lineage: Bacteria; Pseudomonadati; Pseudomonadota; Gammaproteobacteria; Pseudomonadales; Pseudomonadaceae. The record is from RNAcentral.